Molecule: ribosomal RNA, 259 nt
Filed under: Riemerella anatipestifer
Lineage: Bacteria; Pseudomonadati; Bacteroidota; Flavobacteriia; Flavobacteriales; Weeksellaceae
Description: partial 23S ribosomal RNA
Rfam family: Bacterial large subunit ribosomal RNA (bases 27-259)
Source: RNAcentral
GUGCUUGAGUAACCAAAAAUAUUAGGAAAGAAAUCGUUAAGGGCGUAUGGCGGAUGCCUAGGCUUUCAGAGGCGACGAAGGACGCGGUAAGCUGCGAAAAGCUACGGGGAUUGGCACACACGAAUAGAUCCGUAGAUAUCCGAAUGGGGCAACCCAAUACAUUGAAGAUGUAUUACUGCGCAAGCAGAGCAAACCCGGAGAACUGAAACAUCUAAGUACCCGGAGGAAAAGAAAUCGAAGAGAUUCCGUAAGUAGUGGC